CGUUUAGGGGUAAACCUGAGAAACCCGAAAGGUCGAAGGAAGAAAUUCAUUCGUGCCCGAUAAGGUUAUUGUAUGGUUUAUGGUGUCGAAAAAUAUUCAUUUAUUUUUUGCCCUGCUGUACAAUAUAUGUACCUUAUUGGAGGCGUGCACUUUUCUUCUGGUAGGACGUUGCGAUCCGUUGGGUGUUGAUCUAUGGCUUGGUAGGUAGACCUUGAAGAUGGAUUUUUAAUUUAUUCUUUAAGGACCACUGAUGCUUGGUCAACUUGCCCGAUGGUAUAAUGAGAAAAAACGGUUUUCGGUCGCUCAUAAAUAUGAAGCGUUCGGCUUGUAACAAGCGCGUCAAAUGUUUUGGAUUUCGGACCUAGUGCCGUGUCUGAUCCUUGACGUCUGUUGGUUACAUUGUCUCGGACAGGCCGAUAAUGAAAAAACCGAUCUGCAACGAUAUAGCUUUGGGUACUUUCAGGACCCGUCUUGAAACACGGACCAAGGAGUCUAGCAUGUACGCAAGUCAUUGGGAAUUACAAAACCUAAAGGCACAAUGAAAGUAAACGUUUAUCUUUACGGUGAACGAUGGGAAGAUGGGCGUUUAUUACUUGUAAUAGCGUUCCGCAUUCCCGGGGCGUCUCAUUCUCAUUACGAGAAGAGGCGCACCAGGAGCGUACAUGCUGGGACCCGAAAGAUGGUGAACUAU
RNAcentral lists this ribosomal RNA (691 nucleotides) under Cryphalus exiguus. RNAcentral describes it as "partial large subunit ribosomal RNA". It matches the Rfam family "Eukaryotic large subunit ribosomal RNA", at positions 406 to 834 of the family's 3401-position model. The record is from RNAcentral. Lineage: Eukaryota; Metazoa; Arthropoda; Insecta; Coleoptera; Curculionidae.